GAGUCGUGUGGUAAGUACAAAGUGAACUUUUAGCUUUUACUAAAGAAUGCCGUGUACUUGUCACAUAAAACUGGCAUACGCUAAUUUUUAUUUUUUUUUCAAAAGGG
Glycine soja is the source of this 107-nucleotide non-coding RNA. Lineage: Eukaryota; Viridiplantae; Streptophyta; Magnoliopsida; Fabales; Fabaceae. The record is from Rfam.